This 407-nucleotide ribosomal RNA is filed under the name uncultured bacterium. Its description in RNAcentral is "bacterial SSU rRNA". It matches the Rfam family "Archaeal small subunit ribosomal RNA", at positions 339 to 747 of the family's 1478-position model. The record is from RNAcentral.
GCGAGAAAACUUUGCAAUGUGCGAAAGCACGACAAGGUUAAUCCGAGUGGUUUCUGCUAAAGAAACCUUUUGUCAGUCCUAGAAACACUAACGAAUAAGGGGUGGGCAAGUUCUGGUGUCAGCCGCCGCGGUAAAACCAGCACCUCAAGUGGUCAGGAUGAUUAUUGGGCCUAAAGCAUCCGUAGCUCGUUUUGUAAGUUUUCGGUUAAAUCCAUGCGCUUAACGUAUGGGCUGCCGGGAAUACUGCAUAACUAGGAAGUGGGAGAGGUAGACGGUACUCGGUAGGAAGGGGUAAAAUCCUUUGAUCUAUUGAUGACCACCUGUGGCGAAGGCGGUCUACCAGAACACGUUCGACGGUGAGGGAUGAAAGCUGGGGGAGCAAACCGGAUUAGAUACCCUCGUAGUCC